RNAcentral lists this ribosomal RNA (114 nucleotides) under Bacillus velezensis. The record is from RNAcentral. Lineage: Bacteria; Bacillati; Bacillota; Bacilli; Caryophanales; Bacillaceae.
UUUGGUGGCGAUAGCGAAGAGGUCACACCCGUUCCCAUGCCGAACACGGAAGUUAAGCUCUUCAGCGCCGAUGGUAGUCGGGGGUUUCCCCCUGUGAGUAGGACGCCGCCAAGC